This is a non-coding RNA of Labrus bergylta (ballan wrasse), 567 nucleotides long. NCBI's taxonomy places the organism in Eukaryota, Metazoa, Chordata, Actinopteri, Labriformes, Labridae. The record is from RefSeq and is a predicted model, not a curated record.
CAGGAAGUUAUAAAGGAAACAGGAAGUUGAGGGUUCUUUCUUUGAUCUGCCCACAGCAGGCAGCAACAGCAAUGUGCAGCUCCUGCAAUUGAAAGACAAUGUUUAGAUUUAGUUUGGACCAACAAAGACAAUCGUCAUAGCAAAGCAUGCACAGGUUGGUCUGAUCGCUCUCCUCCACCUCUUGGCUCUUCUGGUCGUAGUUGACGGCGAGCUCCUCCAGCGCCUGCAGCACCUCCUUCACCUCCUCCUUCAGCUGGUUCUCCGUUUGCAGCCGGCACAGCUCCUCCUGGGAGGGACGUGGGGUCAGAUCUAUUCUUGUCAUCCAGCUGUUUGUACAGGUUGCUGAUGUCCUCCUCGUAUUUGCUCCGCUCGUUGCAACAAUAUUAUUUGACUUUUCUUUCACAAAGGUAAGAAGUAUUUUCAGUUGAAAAAAACAGUUAAUUUAAAAUGAGUAAUGUAUCAUAAUGGCUCAUUUACUUUUCACGUAUUGUUCAAUCCUAGCUGUAAAUUAGAUGCACACGUUUGAGUGCUCCUAAAGUAAAAGUCUGUGAUAGUCCUUUUUAACUU